This 253-nucleotide ribosomal RNA is filed under the name uncultured bacterium. Its description in RNAcentral is "partial 16S ribosomal RNA". It matches the Rfam family "Bacterial small subunit ribosomal RNA", at positions 524 to 776 of the family's 1533-position model. The record is from RNAcentral.
GACAGAGGGUGCAACCGUUGUUCGGAAUUACUGGGCGUAAAGCGUGUGUAGGUGGCUGUGCAAGUCGGAUGUGAAAGCCCUGGGCUCAACUCAGGAAGUGCACCCGAUACUGCAUAGCUAGAGUACCGGAGAGGUUGGUAGAAUUCUCGGUGUAGAGGUGAAAUUCGUAGAUAUCGAGAGGAAUACCUGUGGCGAAGGCGGCCAACUGGACGAGUACUGACACUGAGACACGAAAGCGUGGGGAGCAAACAGG